GCCAAUCAAACCGGGAGAUAGCUGGUUCUCCCCGAAAGCUAUUUAGGUAGCGCCUCGUGAAUUCAUCUCCGGGGGUAGAGCACUGUUUCGGCAAGGGGGUCAUCCCGACUUACCAACCCGAUGCAAACUGCGAAUACCGGAGAAUGUUAUCACGGGAGACACACGGCGGGUGCUAACGUCCGUCGUGAAGAGGGAAACAACCCAGACCGCCAGCUAAGGUCCCAAAGUCAUGGUUAAGUGGGAAACGAUGUGGGAAGGCCCAGACAGCCAGGAUGUUGGCUUAGAAGCAGCCAUCAUUUAAAGAAAGCGUAAUAGCUCACUGGUCGAGUCGGCCUGCGCGGAAGAUGUAACGGGGCUAAACCAUGCACCGAAGCUGCGGCAGCGACACUAUGUGUUGUUGGGUAGGGGAGCGUUCUGUAAGCCUGUGAAGGUGGCCUGUGAGGGUUGCUGGAGGUAUCAGAAGUGCGAAUGCUGACAUAAGUAACGAUAAAGCGGGUGAAAAGCCCGCUCGCCGGAAGACCAAGGGUUCCUGUCCAACGUUAAUCGGGGCAGGGUGAGUCGACCCCUAAGGCGAGGCCGAAAGGCGUAGUCGAUGGGAAACAGGUUAAUAUUCCUGUACUUGGUGUUACUGCGAAGGGGGGACGGAGAAGGCUAUGUUGGCCGGGCGACGGUUGUCCCGGUUUAAGCGUGUAGGCUGGUUUUCCAGGCAAAUCCGGAAAACCAAGGCUGAGGCGUGAUGA
Molecule: ribosomal RNA, 740 nt
Filed under: Escherichia coli
Lineage: Bacteria; Pseudomonadati; Pseudomonadota; Gammaproteobacteria; Enterobacterales; Enterobacteriaceae
Description: partial 23S ribosomal RNA
Rfam family: Bacterial large subunit ribosomal RNA
Source: RNAcentral